CCUACGGGCGGCAGCAGUGAGGAAUAUUGGUCAAUGGCCGAGAGGCUGAACCAGCCAUGCCGCGUGCAGGAAGACGGCUCUAUGAGUUGUAAACUGCUUUUGUACGGGGGUAAACGCAGAUACGCGUAUCUGUCUGAAAGUAUCGUACGAAUAAGGAUCGGCUAACUCCGUGCCAGCAGCCGCGGUAAUACGGAGGAUUCAAGCGUUAUCCGGAUUUAUUGGGUUUAAAGGGUGCGUAGGCGGUCGGAUAAGUUAGAGGUGAAAGCCCGAGGCUCAACUUCGGAAUUGCCUCUGAUACUGUUCGGCUAGAGCGUAGUUGCGGUAGGCGGAAUGUAUGGUGUAGCGGUGAAAUGCUUAGAGAUCAUACAGAACACCGAUUGCGAAGGCAGCUUACCAGGCUACUUCUGACGUUGAGGCACGAAAGCGUGGGGAGCAAACAGGAUUAGAUACCCUAGUAGUC
RNAcentral lists this ribosomal RNA (460 nucleotides) under uncultured bacterium. Its description in RNAcentral is "partial 16S ribosomal RNA". It matches the Rfam family "Bacterial small subunit ribosomal RNA", at positions 338 to 795 of the family's 1533-position model. The record is from RNAcentral.